GACGAACGCUGGCGGCGUGCUUAACACAUGCAAGUCGAGCGGUAAGGCCCUUUCGGGGGUACACGAGCGGCGAACGGGUGAGUAACACGUGGGUGACCUGCCCUUAGCUCUGGGAUAAGCCUGGGAAACUGGGUCUAAUACCGGAUAUGACUCCAUGACGCAUGUUGUGGGGUGGAAAGCCUUGUGCGGCUAGGGAUGGGCCCGCGGCCUAUCAGCUUGUUGGUGGGGUGAGGCCUACCAAGGCGACGACGGGUAGCCGGCCUGAGAGGGCGACCGGCACACUGGGACUGAGACACGGCCCAGACUCCUACGGGAGGCAGCAGUGGGGAAUCUUGCGCAAUGGGCGAAAGCCUGACGCAGCGACGCCGCGUGAGGGAUGACGGCCUCGG
Molecule: ribosomal RNA, 389 nt
Filed under: uncultured bacterium
Lineage: Bacteria
Description: bacterial SSU rRNA
Rfam family: Bacterial small subunit ribosomal RNA
Source: RNAcentral